GAGUCAAUGUAGCAAUACAUGGCAUACUGCUCAGUAACACGUGGAUAACCUGCCCUUGGGACCGGCAUAACCCCGGGAAACUGGGGAUAAUUCCGGAUAACGCAUAUAUGCUGGAAUGCUUUAUGCGUGAAAUGGAUUCGUCUGCCCAAGGAUGGGUCUGCGGCCUAUCAGGUAGUAGUGGGUGUAAUGUACCUACUAGCCUACAACGGGUACGGGUUGUGAGAGCAAGAGCCCGGAGAUGGAUUCUGAGACAUGAACCCAGGCCCUACGGGGCGCAGCAGGCGCGAAAACUUUACAAUGCGGGAAACCGUGAUAAGGGGACACCGAGUGCCAGCAUCAUAUGCUGGCUGUCCAGGUGUGUAAAAUACACCUGUUAGCAAGGGCCGGGCAAGACCGGUGCCAGCCGCCGCGGUAACACCGGCGGCCCGAGUGGUGAUCGUGAUUAUUGGGUCUAAAGGGUCCGUAGCCGGUUUGGUCAGUCCUCCGGGAAAUCUGACAGCUCAACUGUUAGGCUUUCGGGGGAUACUGCCAGACUUGGAACCGGGAGAGGUAAGAGGUGCUACAGGGGUAGGAGUGAAAUCUUGUAAUCCCUGUGGGACCACCUGUGGCGAAGGCGUCUUACCAGGGCGGGUUCGACGGUGAGGGACGAAAGCUGGGGGCACGAACCGGAUUAGAUACCCGGGUAGUCCCAGCCGUAAACGAUGCUCGCUAGGUGUCAGGCAUGGCGCGACCGCGUCU
Molecule: ribosomal RNA, 738 nt
Filed under: uncultured archaeon
Lineage: Archaea
Description: bacterial SSU rRNA
Rfam family: Archaeal small subunit ribosomal RNA
Source: RNAcentral